CCAAGGAACGGCUAUGUUUUCAAAACAAAAACAUGAUUUAUGUGAAAUGUGAAUUUUAAUAGCCUUGGCGGUCUCGGUAGGAUGCCUUGGCCAAGGUGUCCCCAAGAAUGGAUUUAUGGCACAAGCCUAGAUUUUUAUGAGAUUCAUAAGCCUUUUUACGUAUUUUGAAAGAGAUUGUUCUAAUUGUAUAACCUAGUUUAUGAUGGUUUACUUUAUUGUCUCCAUGUACGCAGUUCUAGAUGUUUAUGAUGAUGUUUGUUUACUCAUUGGGAUUUUAUAAUCUCACCACCCUCCUUUCCACCCAUUUCAGGUUCAGUAUAGACUGUAGAUAGCUGAUCUCAUCGAGGACUACAGUGGGAUCUGCAUUUUCCAAACCGUAGGUUCACAGUCCUCUUUACUUUUGUUUAUUCGGGGGCACUCUUGUUAUUGUAAAUUAAAUUAAAUAUUUUGGCUUACUGUAUUUAAG
RNAcentral lists this long non-coding RNA (466 nucleotides) under Theobroma cacao (cacao). RNAcentral describes it as "long non-coding RNA (TCAC_LNC004610)". Lineage: Eukaryota; Viridiplantae; Streptophyta; Magnoliopsida; Malvales; Malvaceae. The record is from RNAcentral.